AAAAAUAGGUCUCAGUUCAGAUUGCAGGCUGCAACCCGCCUGCAUGAAGUCGGAAUUGCUAGUAAUCGCGGAUCAGCAUGCCGCGGUGAAUACGUUCCCGGGCCUUGUACACACCGCCCGUCACACCAUGGGAGCCGGUAAUACCCGAAGUCAGUAGUCCAACCUCGUGAGGACGCUGCCGAAGGUAGGAUUGGCGACUGGGGUGAAGUCGUAACAAGGUACC
RNAcentral lists this ribosomal RNA (223 nucleotides) under uncultured bacterium. Its description in RNAcentral is "partial 16S ribosomal RNA". It matches the Rfam family "Bacterial small subunit ribosomal RNA", at positions 1277 to 1500 of the family's 1533-position model. The record is from RNAcentral.